This 116-nucleotide non-coding RNA is filed under the name bovine gut metagenome. Its description in RNAcentral is "FMN riboswitch (RFN element)". It matches the Rfam family "FMN riboswitch aptamer (RFN element)". From Rfam's summary of the family: The RFN element is a highly conserved domain that is found frequently in the 5'-untranslated regions of prokaryotic mRNAs that encode for flavin mononucleotide (FMN) biosynthesis and transport proteins. The record is from RNAcentral.
UUCUUCGGGGCGGGGUGUGAUUCCCCACCGGCGGUAAAGCCCGCGAACAAGGCAGGAAGCUUUGUAUGAUUUGGUGAGAUUCCAAAGCCGACAGUAUAGUCUGGAUGAGAGAAGAA